AUGAACGCUGGCGGCGUGCCUCAUACAUGCAAGUCGAGCGAACAGACGAGGAGCUUGCUCCUCUGACGUUAGCGGCGGACGGGUGAGUAACACGUGGAUAACCUACCUAUAAGACUGGGAUAACUUCGGGAAACCGGAGCUAAUACCGGAUAAUAUAUUGAACCGCAUGGUUCCAUAGUGAAAGACGGUUUUGCUGUCACUUAUAGAUGGAUCCGCGCCGCAUUAGCUAGUUGGUAAGGUAACGGCUUACCAAGGCAACGAUGCGUAGCCGACCUGAGAGGGUGAUCGGCCACACUGGAACUGAGACACGGUCCAGACUCCUACGGGAGGCAGCAGUAGGGAAUCUUCCGCAAUGGGCGAAAGCCUGACGGAGCAACGCCGCGUGAGUGAUGAAGGUCUUCGGAUCGUAAAACUCUGUUAUUAGGGAAGAACAAAUGUGUAAGUAACUAUGCACGUCUUGACGGUACCUAAUCAGAAAGCCACGGCUAACUACGUG
RNAcentral lists this ribosomal RNA (496 nucleotides) under uncultured bacterium. RNAcentral's name for it is "partial 16S ribosomal RNA". It matches the Rfam family "Bacterial small subunit ribosomal RNA", at positions 29 to 507 of the family's 1533-position model. The record is from RNAcentral.